Molecule: ribosomal RNA, 483 nt
Filed under: uncultured bacterium
Lineage: Bacteria
Description: partial 16S ribosomal RNA
Rfam family: Bacterial small subunit ribosomal RNA
Source: RNAcentral
GGUGAACGCUGGCGGCGUGCCUAACACAUGCAAGUCGAACGAGGUCCAAGGAAGCUUGCUUCCUGACGACCUAGUGGCGAACGGGUGAGUAACACGUGAGAAACCUGCCUCGGAGUGGGGAAUAACUCGGGGAAACUCGAGCUAAUACCGCAUGUCUUCACAUGAUCGCAAGGUCGAGUGAAGAAAGAAUUUCGCUCUGAGAGGGUCUCGCGGCCUAUCAGCUUGUUGGUGGGGUAACGGCCCACCAAGGCAACGACGGGUAGCUGGUUUGAGAGAACGAUCAGCCACACUGGGACUGAGACACGGCCCAGACUCCUACGGGAGGCAGCAGUGGGGAAUCUUGCGCAAUGGGCGAAAGCCUGACGCAGCAACGCCGCGUGCGGGAUGACGGCCUUCGUGGUUGUAAACCGCUUUCAGCAGGGACGAAAAUGACGGUACCUGCAGAAGAAGCCCCGGCUAACUACGUGCCAGCCGCCGCUGUAA